Molecule: non-coding RNA, 148 nt
Organism: Caenorhabditis elegans
Lineage: Eukaryota; Metazoa; Nematoda; Chromadorea; Rhabditida; Rhabditidae
Source: Ensembl
ACAUCUGAUUUUCUACCGAGCUGCUUCAGGAUGUCACUUGCAGCUUUGAGCCCCGCCGCCAAAAAAGUGGCAUCAUUUUUUACCAUUAAAUUUUGCAUGGCUCUACGAUUUUGUGCAUCGUUGAACAAUCAUCGCUCAUCCCAUUGUU